GUCCAACGUUAAUCGGGGCAGGGUGAGUCGACCCCUAAGGCGAGGCCGAAAGGCGUAGUCGAUGGGAAACAGGUUAAUAUUCCUGUACUUGGUGUUACUGCGAAGGGGGGACGGAGAAGGCUAUGUCAGCCGGGCGACGGUCGUCCCGGUUUAAGCGUGUAGGCUGACUUUCCAGGCAAAUCCGGAAAGUUAAGGCUGAGGCGUGAUGACGAGGCACUACGGUGCUGAAGU
This 231-nucleotide ribosomal RNA is filed under the name Cronobacter sakazakii. RNAcentral's name for it is "partial 23S ribosomal RNA". It matches the Rfam family "Bacterial large subunit ribosomal RNA", at positions 1357 to 1591 of the family's 2925-position model. The record is from RNAcentral. Lineage: Bacteria; Pseudomonadati; Pseudomonadota; Gammaproteobacteria; Enterobacterales; Enterobacteriaceae.